This 1017-nucleotide ribosomal RNA is filed under the name uncultured bacterium. RNAcentral's name for it is "bacterial SSU rRNA". It matches the Rfam family "Bacterial small subunit ribosomal RNA", at positions 355 to 1375 of the family's 1533-position model. RNAcentral also lists the same sequence under 1 other name. The record is from RNAcentral.
UGAGGAAUAUUGGUCAAUGGACGAGAGUCUGAACCAGCCAAGUAGCGUGAAGGAUGAAGGUUCUAUGGAUUGUAAACUUCUUUUAUACGGGAAUAAACGAAUCCACGUGUGGAUUUUUGCAUGUACCGUAUGAAUAAGGAUCGGCUAACUCCGUGCCAGCAGCCGCGGUAAUACGGAGGAUCCGAGCGUUAUCCGGAUUUAUUGGGUUUAAAGGGAGCGUAGAUGGGUUGUUAAGUCAGUUGUGAAAGUUUGCGGCUCAACCGUAAAAUUGCAAUUGAUACUGGCAGUCUUGAGUACAGUUGAGGUAGGCGGAAUUCGUGGUGUAGCGGUGAAAUGCUUAGAUAUCACGAAGAACUCCGAUUGCGAAGGCAGCUUACUAACCUGUAACUGACAUUGAUGCUCGAAAGUGUGGGUAUCAAACAGGAUUAGAUACCCUGGUAGUCCACACGGUAAACGAUGAAUACUCGCUGUAGGCGAUAUACAGUCUGCGGCCAAGCGAAAGCAUUAAGUAUUCCACCUGGGGAGUACGCCGGCAACGGUGAAACUCAAAGGAAUUGACGGGGGCCCGCACAAGCGGAGGAACAUGUGGUUUAAUUCGAUGAUACGCGAGGAACCUUACCCGGGCUUAAAUUGCAACUGACUGAACCGGAAACGGUUCUUUCUUCGGACAGUUGUGAAGGUGCUGCAUGGUUGUCGUCAGCUCGUGCCGUGAGGUGUCGGCUUAAGUGCCAUAACGAGCGCAACCCUUAUCGAUAGUUACUAGCAGGUCAUGCUGAGGACUCUAUUGAGACUGCCGUCGUAAGAUGUGAGGAAGGUGGGGAUGACGUCAAAUCAGCACGGCCCUUACGUCCGGGGCUACACACGUGUUACAAUGGGGGGUACAGAAGGCAGCUACACGGCGACGUGGUGCUAAUCCCGAAAGCCUCUCUCAGUUCGGAUUGGAGUCUGCAACCCGACUCCAUGAAGCUGGAUUCGCUAGUAAUCGCGCAUCAGCCACGGCGCGGUGAAUACGUUCCC